GUUUAUUAUUGUAUAUUUGUUUGGAAUUUCAUUUAUCUUUUUGCAUAACUCCGGGUCAUCGACACCAAGCUUUGUUGUCAUUUCUUUCGAGGAAUUAAAUGCUUUCUCUGAAUCUUUAAGUUCUUUCCACGAGCAGAACAGUACAGGUGCGGAUAUAUUUGUGCAAGCUCAGCUAUUCGACGCAGUGUAUUCAGGGGAUGUGGUUCUAUGCUUGGACCUCUGUAGAAUGAGAAACAAACCUGGGAAAAAAAUUGCACGUCAAAGAAGGUGGAGUUUCAGAACACACCCAUCUAUUGCGUAACCGCCACGGAUCAAUGUAAGCUCAAAUGUGUCUAGGAGCCAAAACAAACUCCCCCAGAGAGUUCGCUUUGGUUUGCAGUUUCGAACUGCCGAAACGAACUCAAAACGAACUUCGUUUCGGCCUGAUUUUGUUUGAAAUGGAGUCAUAUCAGUUCUUGCUUUGAUUUCGUUUGAAGUAUAUCGGGGCCUUUACACAUGCAAACUGUGUGGAAAGAGUUUUUGUCAAGAAGGAAACCUCAAAGUCCACAUGAGUGUUCACACUGGAGACUUUUCAACUGCCAACAAUGUGGUAAAAGUUUCACUAUAAAUGGAAACCUUAAAGUCUACAUGAGAAUUUACAAAGGAGAAAAGCCAUUCAUAUGCUCUAAGUGUGGAGUUUCUGUCAAAAAGGAAACCUCAAAGGCCACAUGAGUGUUCACACUGGAAGAGAGCCUUUUCAACUGCCAACGUGGAAAGAGUUUCAUAACCGCACAAAGAUUCACUCAAUAGAACAGUUUAAUUUGUUGUCAGUGUGAAAGGUGUUUCACAGCCAGGAAGCUCUGCAGCAACCGUGUAAUAAGAAAGAAGCCUUUCACUUGCUGUCAUUGUGGAAAAUCUGGCUCAGACGAAGCAAACCUUGGGAUUAACAUGAGAAUUCACCGUGAAGAGAACCCUUUCAUAUGCCAUCACUGAGGAAAGAUUUAGUUCUGAAUAAAACUUUUUUUGGUGUAAACAAAAAACAAAACACAAAAAUAGUAAAAGCCAGGCCCAGUACUCUUUAUUUAUGUUACCUCCCUGACCCUAUACUGGGGUCGUAACAAAUAAGUUUAUUAUUUUAGCAGAACAUUGUUUUCUAACAUACUUACCUUACUUACGUAAUUUAAGGGGUUUUGCAGAAGGAAUAUAGUCAUUUUUACCUUUUGUUAAAGUGCCGACAUUUGCCCGAUCUCUAUUAAAAGUUAGCAUGCUUGUUUGGAAUCAUAUGAUACAUGAGCUUACGUAAAUUUGUGAGCUAACCCAUUUUUUUAAGUUUUUGUUUAAACUUUUUAAAUUCACUUCAAAGCUGUGUUUUUUGAGAUACACAAAUGUCCUCAUAAGACAGUCGUAGCACCUUGGACAAAGACACUGCAGCUGUUUCCCAAAGUGUAGUGCGCGGACUUCGAAGACCACACCUCCGAAGUGCAAAAGGAACCUUCAAAGUGCAUGAGAUGCUCUGCCUUCGCAGGAUUUCCUAAUUCAGCCACCAGUUGUUCCCGAUUGCCACUCCUGUCACAUAGCAACGGUGCGAGAGGACAGUUGCCAUCCUGACAGGAUUAGUCAUUGAAAAAAACUUUUGGAGCCAGCAUUGCUGUUUUUAUAUUUUACACUGUGAUGGUGGGAAUCCUUCACCUCUGGGUGAACCGGGUGAUGUACCUAAGUCUUAGCCAAGACCGUGCCUAGAUCAGACCUCUGUCCUGCAGGAUAAACCUGAAUAUGCCAGAGCUGGACAGGUUUUUUAAUGACUGACACAUGGCCUGAUUUUUGGUUGAGCAGGGAGGCCCUGAUAUCUGGAUCUUCUGGGAAGUGAAUAGCAACACGGAUGGGGUGCUACAAUCAAGACCCUGGUGUUUCUUUUCUGGCUGGCGUGUGGUACAUAAUACAUAGUGGUCUCAAGAGUGUUUGACAUGCCUCGUUCCAUUGUUCACCAAGUUGCUGAGGAGAUGGUGGCAAUUCGCCACAAAGUGAUUCACCUCCUGAAGGCCUGGAGGCAGUUUGCUGUGGGUCUGCAGGGCUGGCAAGACACAGAGCUUGUAUUUUAAUGUAUAUUGUAUUUUAUAUUAUAAUGUAUUUGUUAAGCAUUCUCUCAAGAAGAGAAAACAGUCUUUCCAUUCUCUCCUUGCUCGCCUGUGUUCUUCUCUCCUCUGUCUCUCUCUGGAUUUUGAUGUCCUCCCUGAGUUGCUCCACAAGCUUCCCCUCUCUCCCUAACUUGCAAUCCUAAGGCAAAGCAAAUAAACCAUGGCUGUUAACAACAACAGCACAAUGAA
Molecule: long non-coding RNA, 2303 nt
Organism: Cyprinus carpio (common carp)
Lineage: Eukaryota; Metazoa; Chordata; Actinopteri; Cypriniformes; Cyprinidae
Exons: 2
Source: RefSeq, a predicted model, not a curated record